CGAACGUCCCAUUUUGUUGGUUCUCUGAGACGAUCGUAAUGAUUAAUAGGGACAGUUGGGGGCAUUCGUAUUGCGUCGUCAGAGGUGAAAUUCUUGGAUUGACGCAAGACGAACUACUGCGAAAGCAUUUGCCAAGGAUGUUUUCAUUAAUCAAGAACGAAAGUUAGGGGAUCGAAGGCGAUUAGAAACCGCCCUAGUCCUAACCAUAAACGAUGCCAACUCAGUAUUGGAGGGUGUUAACCAAACGACCCUUUCAGCACUGCUAGAGAAAUCAAAGUCUCUGGGUUCUGGGGGGAGUAUGGUCGCAAGGCUGAAACUUAAAGAAAUUGACGGAAGGGCACCACCAGGUGUGGAGCCUGCGGCUUAAUUUGACUCAACACGGGGAAACUC
Molecule: ribosomal RNA, 390 nt
Filed under: Preaxostyla sp.
Lineage: Eukaryota
Description: SSU rRNA
Rfam family: Eukaryotic small subunit ribosomal RNA
Source: RNAcentral